UUCUUCCCAGCUCGCGUGUAAAAAAAGUUUCAAAAAAGUUUCUCGUUAGGGUUUACUCAGUUGUUUUUGAGCUCUGAUCCUUGCUAUUGAUCUUGAGGUAUGCUAUUGACUCUGAUGUUUUUCAUCUUUCUCUCUCUAUCUCUUCUUUGAGCUCUAAUCCUUCCUAUUGAGCCCUGAUCCGUGUUCUUCAUCUUUCUCGAGGUAUUUGCCCCUGACUGCCCCAACCACAUCGAAUAGUAUUGAUGUGCUUUAUAUAAUAAAAUCAGAGUGAAUAGCAUACCUUUUAUUUAUGAUUUUAUAGAUUUUUCGCAACAGCCCAAUAGAUCAGAGCUCAGUUUCAAAUUGAUUAUCCAAACAGUUGGUAAUAAAAUGUGAGUCCC
This 380-nucleotide long non-coding RNA is filed under the name Amborella trichopoda. RNAcentral's name for it is "long non-coding RNA (ATRI_LNC000171)". The record is from RNAcentral. Lineage: Eukaryota; Viridiplantae; Streptophyta; Magnoliopsida; Amborellales; Amborellaceae.